This 923-nucleotide long non-coding RNA is filed under the name Oryctolagus cuniculus (rabbit). RNAcentral's name for it is "lncRNA (ENSOCUG00000036862.1)". The record is from RNAcentral. Lineage: Eukaryota; Metazoa; Chordata; Mammalia; Lagomorpha; Leporidae.
CCGCCCCCAGUGACCUCUGACACCGGGCCCAGCUGCGGUGUCUGCCCGAGGAGCUGUCAGCGGGUCCUUUGGGAACAAAGUGAAAUAAUCGUUUGGGGACACGUCGGGCUCAACUGGCUCUGUGUGUUCUCCUGACAAAGCCCCUGUGGGCGCCCCAAGUCAAGGACACGGGCACUCCCACAGCCUCGUGAGCGGCCGCUGCUGAAGACAGCUCCACACACACAGAGCACCUCAUGAAGACCGUCCCCACCCCAGAAGUCCCACACGGGCUCCACCCAGCAUGAUGCCCUGCGCCCCGUGACGGCUCCACCACCCCUGCACGCGUCACCCAGCAGAUGUCAGUGUCCAGGGCUGACCAAUGACAUCACCGGCAGAGGCGAGGUGGAGGGCGGCCUGAAAGCUCGGAGUUGCUCCACAAGAGGAAACCGGGGCAGCGUUAGAUGCUGCUUUUCUUCUUUUCAGGAAGGAGCGCCUGGACCUGGACAGCACCACCCAGCCCUUUCUGCACAGCUGGGGAGAACAGAAAGUGCCACAGCUUGGCGAGAACAGAUACCGACCGUCGCCGCAGAUUCUCCCAGGUGCGGUUGUUUGUUGACUUCGUUUCCACGUACGUCGCUGGAAAAAUGCUGACUGCCACGCACACCCUUCCGUCGUGCCACAUUUCGGCUUUGUGCUCAGGUCGCCGCACCUCUGAGCGCAGGCCCUCCCCCUCCCCCGCGGGAGCCUGGUCCAGUGCUUCCUCCGGCCCCUGCCUGCUGGGACUGCCUCUCCUUGGGGACUGGACAUCACCCCUUUGCCCACCCUGCAUCCACCUGCCACGUGGGGGCCGCGCUGUGUCGACUGCAGAAAGGACACUUCUGUGGUCCGCCCACCCUGGGCUGUCCUGGACAGUGACCUUCAGGACAAUCUGCUGGUCCCACUGA